GGUGGUUCUUGGGUGACGCACCCCGGAAUAGGGCCCCCUCCUCCUCUCUGGUUCUGGGUGUGUCACCCAAGAACUGCA
Molecule: non-coding RNA, 78 nt
Organism: Myotis lucifugus (little brown bat)
Lineage: Eukaryota; Metazoa; Chordata; Mammalia; Chiroptera; Vespertilionidae
Source: Rfam